RNAcentral lists this ribosomal RNA (596 nucleotides) under uncultured fungus. Its description in RNAcentral is "eukaryotic LSU rRNA". The stretch from base 220 to 373 matches the Rfam family "5.8S ribosomal RNA". The record is from RNAcentral. Lineage: Eukaryota; Fungi.
AUUUAGAGGAAGUAAAAGUCGUAACAAGGUCUCCGUUGGUGAACCAGCGGAGGGAUCAUUACAGGGAUUAAAACCCCCUAAACCCACUGUGAACCUACCUAUUUCGUUGCUUCGGCAGGCGGCUCCUGGGAGGGGUCCUGGUCCGCUGGGCGGACGUCUGCCGCGGGCGCCAAACUCUUGUUGUUUAUCGUACCGUCUGAGCUCUAGAAAAAUCGUUAAAACUUUCAGCAACGGAUCUCUUGGUUCUGGCAUCGAUGAAGAACGCAGCGAAAUGCGAUAAGUAAUGUGAAUUGCAGAAUUCAGUGAAUCAUCGAAUCUUUGAACGCACAUUGCGCCCGCUAGUAUUCUAGCGGGCAUGCCUGUCCGAGCGUCAUUUCUACCCUCUAGCGCUGUCCGCUAGGUGUUGGGGCCCUGCAGGCCGUCCCCUGCAGGCCCUGAAAGUCAGCGGCGGGACCGCCGGUGUUUCGAGCGCAGUAGCACACUUACGCCCUGGAGCACCGGCGGCCGCUGGCCGUUAAACCCCCAGACCACACAAGGUUGACCUCGGAUCAGGUAGGACCACCCGCUGAACUUAAGCAUAUCAAUAAGCGGAGGAA